CCUACGGGGCGCAGCAGUGAGGAAUAUUGGUCAAUGGGCGGUAGCCUGAACCAGCCAAGUAGCGUGAAGGAUGAAGGUUCUAUGGAUUGUAAACUUCUUUUAUAAAGGAAUAAAGUGAGGCACGUGUGCCUUUUUGUAUGUACUUUAUGAAUAAGGAUCGGCUAACUCCGUGCCAGCAGCCGCGGUAAUACGUAGGAUCCGAGCGUUAUCCGGAUUUAUUGGGUUUAAAGGGAGCGUAGAUGGGUUGUUAAGUCAGUUGUGAAAGUUUGUGGCUCAACCAUAAAAUUGCCGUUGAAACUGGUUGC
This 305-nucleotide ribosomal RNA is filed under the name uncultured bacterium. Its description in RNAcentral is "bacterial SSU rRNA". It matches the Rfam family "Bacterial small subunit ribosomal RNA", at positions 338 to 640 of the family's 1533-position model. The record is from RNAcentral.